This 471-nucleotide ribosomal RNA is filed under the name uncultured bacterium. RNAcentral describes it as "bacterial SSU rRNA". It matches the Rfam family "Bacterial small subunit ribosomal RNA", at positions 28 to 507 of the family's 1533-position model. The record is from RNAcentral.
GACGAACGCUGGCGGCGCGCCUAAUGCAUGCAAGUCGAGCGACGCAUGCUCGGUGGGUAACCACUGGGUAUGACGGAGCGGCGAACGGGUGAGUAACACGUGAGUAACCUGCCCCGAAGACCGGGAUAGCCCGGGAAACCCGGAUUAAUACCGGAUGCCCUCUCUGGAUCGCAUGGUCCGGUGAGGAAAUGCCUUUGUGCUUCGGGAUGGACUCGCGGCCUAUCAGCUUGUUGGUGAGGUAACGGCUCACCAAGGCUACGACGGGUAGCUGGUCUGAGAGGACGAUCAGCCACACUGGGACUGAGACACGGCCCAGACUCCUACGGGAGGCAGCAGCAGGGAAUCUUGUCCAAUGGGCGAAAGCCUGAGACAGCGACGCCGCGUGAGGGAUGAAGGCCUUCGGGUUGUAAACCUCUUUCAGGAGGGACGAAAUUGACGGUACCUCCAGAAGAAGCCCCGGCCAACUACGUG